Molecule: small nucleolar RNA, 75 nt
Organism: Planococcus citri (citrus mealybug)
Lineage: Eukaryota; Metazoa; Arthropoda; Insecta; Hemiptera; Pseudococcidae
Source: RefSeq, a predicted model, not a curated record
GAGCUAUGAUGAAUUUCUAUUAUGUGUUGAAUUACCGUGAUGUUAAACAUUAUGAGCUUUUUAACUCUGAGCUCG